GUGUCAGCCGCCGCGGUAAUACGGAGGGUGCAAGCGUUAUCCGGAUUCACUGGGUUUAAAGGGUGCGUAGGUGGGUCUGUAAGUCCGUGGUGAAAUCUCCAAGCUUAACUUGGAAACUGCCGUGGAUACUAUAGGUCUUGAAUACCGUGGAGGUGAGCGGAAUAUGUCAUGUAGCGGUGAAAUGCUUAGAUAUGACAUAGAACACCAAUUGCGAAGGCAGCUCACUACACGAUUAUUGACACUGAGGCACGAAAGCGUGGGGAUCAAACAGGAUUAGAAACCCCCGUAGUCC
RNAcentral lists this ribosomal RNA (292 nucleotides) under uncultured bacterium. Its description in RNAcentral is "partial 16S ribosomal RNA". It matches the Rfam family "Bacterial small subunit ribosomal RNA", at positions 505 to 796 of the family's 1533-position model. The record is from RNAcentral.